RNAcentral lists this transfer RNA (75 nucleotides) under Patescibacteria group bacterium. Its description in RNAcentral is "tRNA-Arg". It matches the Rfam family "tRNA". From Rfam's summary of the family: Transfer RNA (tRNA) molecules are approximately 80 nucleotides in length. Their secondary structure includes four short double-helical elements and three loops (D, anti-codon, and T loops). The record is from RNAcentral.
GCCCCCGUCGUUCAAUGGACAGAACACACCCCUCCUAAGGGUGAAAUGCAGGUUCGAUUCCCGCCGGGGGUACCA